RNAcentral lists this ribosomal RNA (466 nucleotides) under Providencia rettgeri. RNAcentral's name for it is "bacterial SSU rRNA". It matches the Rfam family "Bacterial small subunit ribosomal RNA", at positions 1035 to 1501 of the family's 1533-position model. Lineage: Bacteria; Pseudomonadati; Pseudomonadota; Gammaproteobacteria; Enterobacterales; Morganellaceae. The record is from RNAcentral.
CAGGUGCUGCAUGGCUGUCGUCAGCUCGUGUUGUGAAAUGUUGGGUUAAGUCCCGCAACGAGCGCAACCCUUAUCCUUUGUUGCCAGCGAUUCGGUCGGGAACUCAAAGGAGACUGCCGGUGAUAAACCGGAGGAAGGUGGGGAUGACGUCAAGUCAUCAUGGCCCUUACGAGUAGGGCUACACACGUGCUACAAUGGCGUAUACAAAGAGAAGCGACCUCGCGAGAGCAAGCGGAACUCAUAAAGUACGUCGUAGUCCGGAUUGGAGUCUGCAACUCGACUCCAUGAAGUCGGAAUCGCUAGUAAUCGUAGAUCAGAAUGCUACGGUGAAUACGUUCCCGGGCCUUGUACACACCGCCCGUCACACCAUGGGAGUGGGUUGCAAAAGAAGUAGGUAGCUUAACCUUCGGGAGGGCGCUUACCACUUUGUGAUUCAUGACUGGGGUGAAGUCGUAACAAGGUAACC